UGGUUGGGAUUUUUCAAUCUUUGAUGCACCAAAAUCACCAUUGAUAUCUCAUCAUCUUUGUCUUCAUACACAAAGGUCAUAAAAAGCCGAUGAAAUGCUCUUUUGAUGUGUAUUGUCAACAUGGCAUUUCGUGGUUGGAUCAACUACGUGUAUUUUACUAAGUAAACUCAACAAAGUAUAGUACGUCCUUGUGAUUUAUGUGAGUCGGAUUUGAGGUCUUUCACUUACAAGUGAAGAGAAUACUACUAAACGAUAACAUUAAUUGUCAUAUUUUCCUUACUUAUUGGAACAUAAAGUGUGAUGUUGACAUAUCAUUGAAGAAAGUUGGGAUUCCACCGUAUAACCAAUUGGCAAUAUGAGAAGUAGCCCGAUCUCUUAUAAGUCCAUGCAAAGUCUCUCUUUUCAUCAAUAUAAGACAUAUUCUCAAUAAUCAUAUGAGCUAAAUUUUCAUAUUUUAUAAAUUUAGGCUAAAUAUUAGCUAUAAUUUUUGUUUCUUUUCUUCUUUGAGAUGCAUUAAGCUAUAUCCCUAUAAAAUUUAUAAAUUACGAAAUGAAGAUUCAAAUUUAAGUCCAACGAGAGGGGCAUAAUGAUCUAACUAACUUAUCUACGCUUAGGUAGUGCAUGAUAGAUUUCAAAAACACAAUGUUAAUUAAUUCAAAUAUUUCCAAAAGAUGUUAAAAAAAAGAAAGAAGAGAGUGAUCCAAAUGGGAGUCCACCAAGAAGUAGAGAUAAAAAGGGCAUGUACCUUUUGGAGGGUUGCUUAAGCUCCCCAUCUUUUUGUCUUAAUAUUAGCAAGGUA
This 799-nucleotide long non-coding RNA is filed under the name Malus domestica (apple). RNAcentral describes it as "long non-coding RNA (MDOM_LNC003103)". Lineage: Eukaryota; Viridiplantae; Streptophyta; Magnoliopsida; Rosales; Rosaceae. The record is from RNAcentral.